RNAcentral lists this ribosomal RNA (1453 nucleotides) under uncultured organism. RNAcentral describes it as "SSU rRNA". It matches the Rfam family "Bacterial small subunit ribosomal RNA". The record is from RNAcentral.
CAUGAUGAACGCUAGCUACAGGCUUAACACAUGCAAGUCGAGGGGCAUCAGGAAGAAAGCUUGCUUUCUUUGCUGGCGACCGGCGCACGGGUGAGUAACACGUAUCCAACCUGCCCUUUACUCGGGGAUAGCCUUUCGAAAGAAAGAUUAAUACCCGAUAGCAUAAUGAUUCCGCAUGGUUUCAUUAUUAAAGGAUUCCGGUAAAGGAUGGGGAUGCGUUCCAUUAGGUUGUUGGUGGGGUAACGGCCCACCAAGCCUUCGAUGGAUAGGGGUUCUGAGAGGAAGGUCCCCCACAUUGGAACUGAGACACGGUCCAAACUCCUACGGGAGGCAGCAGUGAGGAAUAUUGGUCAAUGGGCGCUAGCCUGAACCAGCCAAGUAGCGUGAAGGAUGAAGGCUCUAUGGGUCGUAAACUUCUUUUAUAUAAGAAUAAAGUGCAGUAUGUAUACUGUUUUGUAUGUAUUAUAUGAAUAAGGAUCGGCUAACUCCGUGCCAGCAGCCGCGGUAAUACGGAGGAUCCGAGCGUUAUCCGGAUUUAUUGGGUUUAAAGGGAGCGUAGGUGGACUGGUAAGUCAGUUGUGAAAGUUUGCGGCUCAACCGUAAAAUUGCAGUUGAUACUGUCAGUCUUGAGUACAGUAGAGGUGGGCGGAAUUCGUGGUGUAGCGGUGAAAUGCUUAGAUAUCACGAAGAACUCCGAUUGCGAAGGCAGCUCACUGGACUGCAACUGACACUGAUGCUCGAAAGUGUGGGUAUCAAACAGGAUUAGAUACCCUGGUAGUCCACACAGUAAACGAUGAAUACUCGCUGUUUGCGAUAUACAGUAAGCGGCCAAGCGAAAGCAUUAAGUAUUCCACCUGGGGAGUACGCCGGCAACGGUGAAACUCAAAGGAAUUGACGGGGGCCCGCACAAGCGGAGGAACAUGUGGUUUAAUUCGAUGAUACGCGAGGAACCUUACCCGGGCUUAAAUUGCAGUGGAAUGAUGUGGAAACAUGUCAGUGAGCAAUCACCGCUGUGAAGGUGCUGCAUGGUUGUCGUCAGCUCGUGCCGUGAGGUGUCGGCUUAAGUGCCAUAACGAGCGCAACCCUUAUCUUCAGUUACUAACAGGUCAUGCUGAGGACUCUGGAGAGACUGCCGUCGUAAGAUGUGAGGAAGGUGGGGAUGACGUCAAAUCAGCACGGCCCUUACGUCCGGGGCUACACACGUGUUACAAUGGGGGGUACAGAAGGCAGCUAGCGGGUGACCGUAUGCUAAUCCCAAAAGCCUCUCUCAGCUCGGAUCGAAGUCUGCAACCCGACUUCGUGAAGCUGGAUUCGCUAGUAAUCGCGCAUCAGCCACGGCGCGGUGAAUACGUUCCCGGGUCUUGUACACACCGCCCGUCACACCAUGGGAGUUGGAAAUGCCCGAAGCCAGUGACCCAACCGCAAGGAGGGAGCUGCCGAAGGCAGGUUCGAU